This is a non-coding RNA of Schistosoma haematobium, 46 nucleotides long. Lineage: Eukaryota; Metazoa; Platyhelminthes; Trematoda; Strigeidida; Schistosomatidae. The record is from Rfam.
GCACUGCUGAGGAGUCCCACAAUGGGACGAAACGGCCGCCCAGUGC